This 285-nucleotide small nuclear RNA is filed under the name Callithrix jacchus (white-tufted-ear marmoset). Its description in RNAcentral is "7SK RNA". It matches the Rfam family "7SK RNA", at positions 1 to 257 of the family's 331-position model. Rfam says of the family: 7SK was discovered as an abundant small nuclear RNA in the mid-70s but a possible function has only recently been suggested. The record is from Rfam by way of RNAcentral. Lineage: Eukaryota; Metazoa; Chordata; Mammalia; Primates; Cebidae.
GGAUGUGAGGGUGAUCUGGCUGUGACAUCUGUUACCCCAUUGAUCACCAGGGUGGAUUCAGCUGAUCUGGCUGUCGAGGUAGGUGUCCUCUUCCUCCCUCACUCCACAUGUGUCCGUCCCGAAGCUGUGCACUCAGCCGAAGAGGACAACCAUCCCUGAGACAGGAGGACCAGGCUUCAGUCAAGGGCAGCUGUGCGCCCCUGUUGGUACCUCCAAACAAGCGAUCAAGUAUCUGUAAUUUCUUAAUUUUUCUACAGGGAAUUAUGUGUUACCUUUGUAGUAAAA